Molecule: long non-coding RNA, 1133 nt
Filed under: Zonotrichia albicollis (white-throated sparrow)
Lineage: Eukaryota; Metazoa; Chordata; Aves; Passeriformes; Passerellidae
Description: lncRNA (ENSZALG00000010853.1)
Source: RNAcentral
AAAAUAUAAAAAAUAUAUGUAUUAUAUUAUAUUUAUAUAUAUAUAUAAUAUAUAUAUGUAUAUAAAAAUAUAUACAAAAAAUAUACAGAAAGUUUGUAAAAAACCUGAAAACAGUCUCCCGGGACAGUUCCCAAAGGACAAGCUAAAAUUAUGAAGUACCCCCUCCAAUAUUGUACCUAAUUUCAGGAAAUUUUCCUGAUAAACCAUCUCAGGAGCCAAAACAACAAGAUGACAGAAGCUUUCAAGGACCCAUCUCAGGUCAUUGAGAGGGGUUGGACCCCAUGUCAAACUCAAUGGUUACACCUGGAGUAAGACCAAGAGCUUGGAAAGCUCCAGUACAACCCAGCAGAAGAUUGGGGCGUUCCCUGCUUUGGUGGCUUGAGAAAAUGAGCUGACAACCCAAUCAAACCCCACAGAUAGGAAAUCAUCAUCCUCAGCAGGGCCCUGCCCUUUUCUGCUGAGAAUAAUUCCAUUUUAUACAGGCAAAGUGCUCCCACUUCCAUUUUAUACAAGCAAAGUGCUCCCAGUUCCAUUUUACACAGGCAAAGUUGCUCCUCCCCAAGCAUCCCUAGUGAGGAUACCUCAAACCCAGUUUGGGAAAUUUACUCUACAAACCUUCUUCUUCAGACUAAAAGAAAUUAAAAAAGAGUUUUAAAAAGCAAAUUAAUUUUUUUCAGGAAUGACUUAAUUUAAGGAAGGAGCAUUUUGCCACAAUUGUGACAAAAAGACAGCAGAAUUUUUGGAAGUUUUUGGAAGUGGCCAUAAUUGACCUGCCUGUUUCCCAUCUCCUUUUAUCCCUAGGAGAUCCCAGCAUGAGCAGCUCAGCACCCACAGCUGUGCAAAGCAGCAGGGCUCUGGUACACAACUUCCUGCAGGAAGCAGAGGCAGCAGAGCACAGGAAACCCCAACACUACAAGAACUUCACUCCCUGCAAGGCCAGAACCCCACAAAGAUCCCCUGCCAUAAAAAAGGGCAUCUCCAGCUUGCAGAUUCCCCUCACAAACCUUUGUGCGUUUGGGCAGAGCAGGAUUUAUUCAUCCUAAACUCGGCUUCAAUCCUGCACCCCAGCAAAGCCCCAAACUCUCAGGGGUGGGGAUUGUCCGGUUUAUCUCGGCUGUUUGAGGGGCCUGGAA